AGGGCGCCACCAGGAGUGGAGCCUGCGGCUUAAUUUGACUCAACACGGGAAACCUCACCCGGCCCGGACACGGACAGGAUUGACAGAUCGAUAGCUCUUUCUCGAUUCCGUGGGUGGUGGUGCAUGGCCGUUCUUAGUUGGUGGAGCGAUUUGUCUGGUUAAUUCCGAUAACGAACGAGACUCUGGCAUGCUAACUAGUUACGCGACCCCCCGAGCGGUCGGCGUCCCCCAACUUCUUAGAGGGACAAGUGGCGUUCAGCCACCCGAGAUUGAGCAAUAACAGGUCUGUGAUGCCCUUAGAUGUCCGGGGCUGCACGCGCGCUACACUGACUGGCUCAGCGUGUGCCUACCCUACGCCGGCAGGCGCGGGUAACCCGUUGAACCCCAUUCGUGAUGGGGAUCGGGGAUUGCAAUUAUUCCCCAUGAACGAGGAAUUCCCAGUAAGUGCGGGUCAUAAGCUUGCGUUGAUUAAGUCCCUGCCCUUUGUACACACCGCCCGUCGCCACUACCGAUUGGAUG
This 519-nucleotide ribosomal RNA is filed under the name uncultured eukaryote. Its description in RNAcentral is "SSU rRNA". It matches the Rfam family "Eukaryotic small subunit ribosomal RNA", at positions 1161 to 1695 of the family's 1831-position model. The record is from RNAcentral.